This 497-nucleotide ribosomal RNA is filed under the name uncultured bacterium. Its description in RNAcentral is "partial 16S ribosomal RNA". It matches the Rfam family "Bacterial small subunit ribosomal RNA", at positions 28 to 507 of the family's 1533-position model. The record is from RNAcentral.
GAUGAACGCUGGCGGCGUGCCUAAUACAUGCAAGUCGAGCGAACAGACGAGGAGCUUGCUCCUCUGACGUUAGCGGCGGACGGGUGAGUAACACGUGGAUAACCUACCUAUAAGACUGGGAUAACUUCGGGAAACCGGAGCUAAUACCGGAUAAUAUAUUGAACCGCAUGGUUCAAUAGUGAAAGACGGUUUUGCUGUCACUUAUAGAUGGAUCCGCGCCGCAUUAGCUAGUUGGUAAGGUAACGGCUUACCAAGGCAACGAUGCGUAGCCGACCUGAGAGGGUGAUAGGCCACACUGGAACUGGGACGCGGACCAGACGCCUACGGGAGGCAGCAGUAGGGAAUCUGAGGCAAUGGGCGAAAGCCUGACGGAGCAACGCCGCGUGAGUGAUGAAGGUCUUCGGAUCGUAAAACUCUGUUAUUAGGGAAGAACAAAUGUGUAAGUAACUAUGCACGUCUUGACGGUACCUAAUCAGAAAGCCACGGCUAACUACGUG